GAUGAACGCUGGCGGCGUGCCUAAUACAUGCAAGUCGAGCGAACAGACGAGGAGCUUGCUCCUCUGACGUUAGCGGCGGACGGGUGAGUAACACGUGGAUAACCUACCUAUAAGACUGGGAUAACUUCGGGAAACCGGAGCUAAUACCGGAUAAUAUAUUGAACCGCAUGGUUCAAUAGUGAAAGACGGUUUUGCUGUCACUUAUAGAUGGAUCCCCGCCGCAUUAGCUAGUUGGUAAGGUAACGGCUUACCAAGUCGACGAUGUGUAGCCGACCUGAGAGGGUGAUCGGCCACACUGGAACUUAGACACGGUCCAGACUCCUACGGGAGGCAGCAGUAGGGAAUCUUCCGCAAUGGGCGAAAGCCUGACGGAGCAACGCCGCGUGAGUGAUGAAGGUCUUCGGAUCGUAAAACUCUGUUAUUAGGGAAGAACAAAUGUGUAAGUAACUAUGCACGUCUUGACGGUACCUAAUCAGAAAGCCACGGCUAACUACGUG
Molecule: ribosomal RNA, 497 nt
Filed under: uncultured bacterium
Lineage: Bacteria
Description: partial 16S ribosomal RNA
Rfam family: Bacterial small subunit ribosomal RNA
Source: RNAcentral